This is a long non-coding RNA of Lampris incognitus (smalleye Pacific opah), 241 nucleotides long. RefSeq lists it as uncharacterized. Lineage: Eukaryota; Metazoa; Chordata; Actinopteri; Lampriformes; Lampridae. The record is from RefSeq and is a predicted model, not a curated record. The transcript is spliced from 3 exons.
CUUUCUUCUUUUAAAUGAGGGCACCAUUGCCAGUCUAAUCCCAAAAAUUGGCCUACGGUUGAAAUUCCUCAAACGCUACAGAGAAUUUAAUGACAAUUCUGUGCCAGCACCAGCACCAGCACCACCCACUACUGAGCAACAACAAACAGCAGAGGAACACCAGGCAACAGUGGUGGAAGAGACUAUGCCUCCUAUUCCUAUUGUUCUACAAGUUGUUCCUGUGUUUGUAGACCAACAGCAG